CUUUAUUUUUUUUAUACUACAGAUCAACUUGAACGUGUAUUCUUACGUCUUGGCCAUGCAGAAACAGAUGAGCAGUUACAGAAUAUUAUAUCCAAAUUCCUACCCCCUGUCCUGCUCAAACUGUCCAGCACGCAGGAAGGAGUGCGUAAAAAGGUCAUGGAGCUCCUAGUUCACUUGAAUAAACGCAUCAAAAGUCGUCCAAAAAUUCAACUUCCAGUAGAGACUUUACUAGUCCAAUACCAAGAUCCCGCUGCAGUUUCCUUUGUCACCAAUUUUACUAUAAUUUAUGUUAAGAUGGGUUACCCUCGUUUGCCUGUGGAAAAACAAUGUGAAUUGGCGCCUACUCUCCUCACUGCAAUGGAAGGGAAACCACAACCACAGCAAGACAGCCUAAUGCAUCUUCUAAUACCAACCCUUUUUCACAUGAAAUAUCCUGUUGAACCAUCGAAAGCAGCUUCUCCAUUUAAUCUUGCCGAAAAACCAAAGACUGUACAGCUGCUCUUGGAGUUUAUGUUGGAUGUGCUCCUUAUGCCUUAUGGAUACGUACUGAAUGAAUCCCAGAGUCGCCAAAACGUGCCAUCGGCACAGGGCUCUUCUGCAUCCAGUAGUGCUGGAAGUUCGGGGAUCCCUCAACCUCCUCCAGGGAUGAGCUUUUACGCAGCCAAGCGGGUAAUUGGAGAUAGCCCAUGGACACCUGAACAGCUGGAACAGUGUAAACUGGGAAUAGUAAAGUUCAUUGAAGCUGAGCAGGUACCAGAGCUUGAAGCCGUCAUACACCUGGUAAUAGCCUCCAGCGACACACGACACAGUGUAGCCACUGCGGCAGACCUGGAACUGAAAAGCAAACAAAGCUUAAUUGACUGGAAUAAUCCUACUAUCGUCAACAAAAUGUACAAAGUGUACCUCGGGGAUAUACCACUGAAAACUAAAGAGGGAGUUGUUCUGAAGCCAGAACUGAAACGAGAUCCAGUCAGCACCCGGGUUAAAUUAAAGAUUGUUCCUCAUCUUCUGCGUUCCAGACAAGCUGCAGAAACAUUCCCAGCUAACAUUCAGGUGGUAUAUGAUGGACUCUUUGGUGCAAAUACAAACACGAAACUGAGAACUCUGUCCCUGCAGUUUGUACAUCAUAUUUGUACAAGUUGUCCAGAAAGUAAAAUAAAGCCACUAGGCCCAAUGCUUUUAAAUGGGCUUACGAAACUGAUUAAUGAAUACAAAGAGGACCCCAAACUGCUGUCAAUGGCCUAUUCAGCUGUUGGAAAACUGUCCAGUCGAAUGCCUCAGCUGUUUACCAAGGACAUAGCUCUUGUCCAGCAGUUUUUUGAAGCUUUGUGCAAGGAAGAGCCCGAUACCAGACUUGCUAUUCAGGAGGCCUUGUCUAUGAUGGUUGGAGCAUAUAGUAGUUUGGAAGGAGCACAGCGUACGCUUAUGGAGGCUCUUGUGGCUUCAUACCUAAUAAAGCCUGAAGUCCAAGUGCGUCAGGUGGCCGUGAAAUUUGCAAGCACAGUGUUCCCUUCAGAUCACAUCCCUUCCAGAUACUUACUGCUUUUAGCUGCAGGAGAUCCACGAGAGGAGGUGCAUGGAGAAGCCCAGCGCGUACUGAGAAUGUUUCCUGGUAAAAAUGAAAAGGAGAGUGCUGGUAAACAGAUGCCUUCCUUCCCAGAAAUGGUCCAUUACAUUCAAGACAAGGCCUCUCACCGAAUGAAAACUCCUGCUAAAUACAUGACCGGAACUGCAGUCCUGCCUUUCAAUCCUGCUACGUUUGGAGAGAUAGUCCUGUACCUGCGAAUGUGUCUUGCGCAUAGCGCAGGUGUGGUGCCAUCCUCUCAGAACUUAGCUGACAUGCAAGACCAUGCUCCAGCAAUUGGCCGUUAUAUCAGAAACCUCCUGUCUGGCAACUUCAUAUCUUCCUCCUCAUCGUCAUCUUCCUCAAAAAGUGGAGAAACCAACCCAGUGCAAAUCUAUAUUGGCCUUCUUCAGCAGCUGUUGUCUGGGGUUGGAGGUUUGCCAGUCAUGUAUUGUCUUCUAGAAGUUGUUUCGGUGUAUCCAGAAAAACUAGCUACCAGAUUUGCAGACAAAAUAGAUUGGAUAAAGAGUCUGAUGAAUACAAACAAGGAAGAGAUGCGUGAGCUGGCAGCACUGUUGUAUUCUGUAGUGUUGUCUACAAUGUCUGGAAAUGAACUGAAGUCCUCUGUACAGCAACUGAUCAAGACAGCAAAAGACAAUCAUAACCCGGAGAUCCAACAUGGAUCCUUGUUGGCUUUGGGAUUCACAGUAGGAAGGUACCUGGCCAAAAGGAAAACCAGAAUGAUGGAGAUGCAUGACAUUGAAGAGCCAAAUAUUGUUGUCAUGCCAGAACAAGACCAGCUCAUAAAGACCACAACAGAAACAAUAGGUUCCUUUUUGGACAGCACCUCUCCGCUCCUGGCAGUUGCUGCUUGUACAGCACUGGGGGAAAUUGGCAGGAACGGCCCCUUGCCAAUUCCCAACGAAGGCACCGGGUUUACAAAGCUGCAUCUUGUUGAGAGUUUACUGACCAGAAUCCCUUCUGGCAAGGAAACAAAUAAGAUGAAAGAACGAGCGAUACAAACACUGGGUUACUUUCCAGUGGGAGAUGGAGACUUUCCCCACCAGAAACUACUGUUGCAAGGACUAAUGGAUUCUGUGGAGGUAAGUUAA
RNAcentral lists this long non-coding RNA (2676 nucleotides) under Terrapene triunguis (Three-toed box turtle). RNAcentral describes it as "Terrapene carolina triunguis (Three-toed box turtle) lncRNA (ENSTMTG00000013195.1)". The record is from RNAcentral. Lineage: Eukaryota; Metazoa; Chordata; Testudines; Emydidae.